RNAcentral lists this unclassified non-coding RNA (222 nucleotides) under uncultured fungus. Its description in RNAcentral is "sequence contains ITS1, 5.8S rRNA gene". The stretch from base 174 to 222 matches the Rfam family "5.8S ribosomal RNA", at positions 1 to 49 of the family's 154-position model. Lineage: Eukaryota; Fungi. The record is from RNAcentral.
UUUCCGUAGGUGAACCUGCGGAAGGAUCAUUACCUAGAGUUGUAGGCUUUGCCUGCUAUCUCUUACCCAUGUCUUUUGAGUACCUUCGUUUCCUCGGUGGGUUCGCCCGCCGAUUGGACAAAACUUAAACCCUUUGUAGUUGCAAUCAGCGUCAGAAACAAAACAAUAAUUACAACUUUCAACAACGGAUCUCUUGGUUCUGGCAUCGAUGAAGAACGCAGC